This is a long non-coding RNA of Magallana angulata, 786 nucleotides long. RefSeq lists it as uncharacterized. The record is from RefSeq and is a predicted model, not a curated record. NCBI's taxonomy places the organism in Eukaryota, Metazoa, Mollusca, Bivalvia, Ostreida, Ostreidae. The transcript has 3 exons.
AGUGUCAGAUCUAAUGUAUAGAUACUAUUGGCUAACGACUCAAACGAUUGAACUUAACAUGCAACCAGUUGCUUCUUUUGGACAUAAUUAUGUACAAAUAAAGUGCAUCAUGUACAUGUGUAUAAUAUAUAUAACUAUUUAUUGAAUUAUACUUUAUAAAAGAAUUUUGCUUAUUUUUUUUUUUCAUUUCUUUCAGAGGUUAUUCCUAACAAAGAAAAAGUUUACCCAAUGUUAGAAGUUCUGGCCAGAGUUUAAAGAGUUCUAUGUAUUAAUAAAAAAGACAACAGACGAAACAUCUGGGAGCUUCUGCAGAAAAAAGAAGAAAGAGGAAUUAAAGGUUACCAAGAGGAACAAUGAAGAGAGAAAUGAAUUGUUACAUGGCAAUGAAGAAUAAACUCCUGAGAACAAAUUAAUGAAGUUUUUGUUAUUAUUUUUUUUAUAUGCCUGGUAUACAUCUGCAAUAGUAUGCUGAUGAUCUAUACAUUGAUAUCAAGGAAUAGUUUGCAAUAUGAAGCACACUGUACGUAAUAUAUUUGAAAUGAAAGCUUAAUUACUGAAAAUUGCUAACAAAAAAUUAUAUAUAAAUUUCAUAUAUAAAAUGCAACACAUAUAUUACACAUAUAGAAUAUGUGUUUUACACAUAUAAAAUAUGCUAUGUUUAAUUUCACACAUGUUUGACACAUAUUAAACACAUGUUAAACAUGUGUGGAAUUAAACACUUUUUAUAUGUGUGCUCUUUUUAUGUGUUUUACACGUGUAAAAUAUAUAUGUAAAAUAUAUGUUAAA